CAGGAUGAAGGCCCUAUGGGUUGUAAACUGCUUUUUGGCCGGGAAUAAACUUUAUUUUUAUAACGGGACCGAAGGUACCGUAUGAAUAAGCAUCGGCUAACUCCGUGCCAGCAGCCGCGGUAAUACGGGGGAUGCAAGCGUUAUCCGGAUUCACUGGGUUUAAAGGGUGGGCAGGCGGACAUUUAAUUCAGGGGUGAAAUCCUACAGCUUAACCGUAGAACUGCCCUUGAUACUGAAAAUCUAGAGUGCAGUUGAAGUAGGCGGAAUUCGUGGUGUAGCGGUGAAAUGCUUAGAUAUCCACAGAACACCAAUGGCGAAGGC
RNAcentral lists this ribosomal RNA (321 nucleotides) under uncultured bacterium. RNAcentral describes it as "bacterial SSU rRNA". It matches the Rfam family "Bacterial small subunit ribosomal RNA", at positions 404 to 722 of the family's 1533-position model. The record is from RNAcentral.